AUGAAACAUCUAAGCUGGAACUGCCGGGGGCUUGGGAACCCCGAGGCAGUUCGCGAGCUUCGCAAGAUUGUGAAGCAAUAAGGGCCUGCUCUGGUUUUUGUGAUGGAAACAAAGAUUAGGGCUAAGAGAGUGGAAAUUCUACAGCAAAGUCUUGGUUUGGCGAGAUGUUUUGCGGUGGAUAGUGUUGGGCUCAGUGGCGGCAUUGGACUCUUUUGGUCAAAG
This 222-nucleotide ribosomal RNA is filed under the name Triticum aestivum (bread wheat). RNAcentral's name for it is "partial small subunit ribosomal RNA". Lineage: Eukaryota; Viridiplantae; Streptophyta; Magnoliopsida; Poales; Poaceae. The record is from RNAcentral.